Non-coding RNA from Candidatus Buchananbacteria bacterium, 87 nucleotides. The record is from Rfam. NCBI's taxonomy places the organism in Bacteria, Candidatus Buchananiibacteriota.
GGAGAGGUGGCUGAGUGGUCUAAAGCGCCUCACUGCUAACGAGGUGGCCCUUAACCGGGCUCGCGAGUUCGAAUCUCGCCCUCUCCG